This 1893-nucleotide ribosomal RNA is filed under the name Triticum aestivum (bread wheat). RNAcentral's name for it is "partial small subunit ribosomal RNA". The record is from RNAcentral. Lineage: Eukaryota; Viridiplantae; Streptophyta; Magnoliopsida; Poales; Poaceae.
AUGGCCAUCAAGGGCAACUCUGGCGAGUACAAGGCGCGGAGCCCGCUGGGCAUGGUGAUCGCCGUCCUGCUGUGCUGCUUCUUCUACGUGCUCGGCGCGUGGCAGCGCAGCGGCUACGGCAAGGGUGACAGCAUCGUGGUGGCGGUGACCCGGCAGACGGCCUGCGCCAGCGCCUCUGCCGUGGGGCUCAGCUUCGAGACGCACCACACCGGCGGCCUGGCCAACGCGACGACGUCCGGCCUUGGCGGCAAGCCGCCGCCGUCGUUCGCGCCGUGCGCGGCAGCGCUCACGGACCACACUCCGUGCCACGAUCAGGACCGCGCCAUGAAAUUCCCACGCAAGAACAUGGUGUACCGGGAGCGGCACUGCCCGUCGGACGGCGACCGGCUGCGGUGCCUCGUGCCGGCGCCGCCUGGGUACGUGACGCCGUUCCCGUGGCCCAAGAGCCGCGACUACGUCCCUUACGCCAACGCGCCGUACAAAAGCCUCACCGUUGAGAAGGCCGUCCAGAACUGGGUCCAGUACGAGGGCGCCGUAUUCCGUUUUCCCGGCGGCGGCACCCAGUUCCCCCACGGCGCCGACAAGUACAUCGACCAGCUCGCCUCCGUCGUCCCCUUCGCCGACGGCUCCGUCCGCUCCGUCCUCGACACCGGCUGCGGCGUGGCGAGUCUCGGCGCAUACCUAGACUCCCGUGGCGUGAUGGCCAUGUCGUUCGCACCGCGCGACUCGCACGAGGCGCAGGUGCAAUUCGCGCUGGAGCGCGGUGUGCCGGCCUUCAUCGGCGUCCUUGGCUCCGUCAAGCUCCCAUUCCCUCCAAGAUCCUUUGACAUGGCGCACUGCUCCCGGUGCCUCAUCCAGUGGUCCGGCAACGGCGGGAUGUACAUGAUGGAGGUGGACCGGGUGCUCGGGCCGGGCGGGUAUUGGGUCCUCUCCGGCCCGCCGAUCAACUGGAAGGCGAAUCACAGGAAGUGGCAGCGCACGGAGGAGGACCUGGGAGGCGAGCAGAAGAGGAUUGAGGAGUACGCGCAGAUGCUCUGCUGGGAGAAGGUCACCGAGAUGGCCGAGAUUGGCGUGUGGCGCAAGCGGACGGACACGGCAGCGUGCCCGGCCAUGCCGCCGGCGGUCCAGGCCUGCGACCCGGCAAAUCCCGACGACGUCUGGUACAAGAACAUGGAGACGUGCAUCACGCCGUCCACCACUGCCGCCGGAGGAGAACUGCAGUCGUUCCCGGAACGGCUGAAGGCCAUCCCGCCACGCAUAAGUUCUGGCGCCGUCCAGGGCUUCAUCGUGGAGUCGUACGAGGAGGAGAACCGACGGUGGGAGAGGCAUGUGAAGGCAUACAGGAAGGUUAACUACAAGCUCGACACCAAGCGGUACCGGAACAUCAUGGACAUGAACGCCGGCGUGGGCGGCUUCGCGGCGGCGAUCUUCUCCCCCAUGUCCUGGGUGAUGAACGUGGUGCCCACCGCCGCCGAGCUCUCCACCCUCGGCGUCAUCUAUGAGAGGGGUCUCAUUGGCAUCUAUCAUGACUGGUGUGAAGCAUUCUCUACCUACCCAAGAACCUAUGACCUCAUCCAUGCCAACGGAGUAUUCAACAUCUAUAGGGACAAGUGCAAGAUGGAGGACAUCAUGCUGGAGAUGGACCGGAUUUUGCGCCCUGAGGGCACGGUGAUCCUCCGGGAUGACAUCAACGUCCUGCUGCGGGUGGACAAGGUGGCGACGGGGAUGCGGUGGAAGACGAUGAUGGCAAACCACGAGGACAGCCCGCACAUCCGAGAGAAGGUGCUCUACGCUAUCAAGCCCUACUGGACCGCCGACAGCGACAAAAGCUCCCAAGACCAAGAGAAGAAGGCAACCUCUUCUAAGGGCAAGGGCUCAGACUCAGAGGUGUGA